AUUGAACGCUGGCGGCAGGCCUAACACAUGCAAGUCGAACGGUAACAGGAAGCAGCUUGCUGCUUCGCUGACGAGUGGCGGACGUGUGAGUAAUGUCUGGGAAGCUGCCUGAUGGAGGGGGAUAACUACUGGAAACGGUAGCUAAUACCGCAUAAUGUCGCAAGACCAAAGAGGGGGACCUUCGGGCCUCUUGCCCUCGGAUGUGCCCAGAUGGGAUUAGCUUGUUGGUGGGGUAACGGCUCACCAAGGCGACGAUCCCUAGCUGGUCUGAGAGGAUGACCAGCCACACUGGGACUGAGACACGGUACAGACUCCUACGGGAGGCAGCAGUGGGGAAUAUUGCACAAUGGGCGCAAGCCUGAUGCAGCCAUGCCGCGUGUAUGAAGAAGGCCUUCGGGUUGUAAAGUACUUUCAGCGGGGAGGAAGGGAGUAAAGUUAAUACCUUUGCUCAUUGACGUUACCCGCAGAAGAAGCACCGGCUAACUCCGUG
This 490-nucleotide ribosomal RNA is filed under the name uncultured bacterium. Its description in RNAcentral is "partial 16S ribosomal RNA". It matches the Rfam family "Bacterial small subunit ribosomal RNA", at positions 30 to 507 of the family's 1533-position model. The record is from RNAcentral.